This 63-nucleotide transfer RNA is filed under the name Chloroflexota bacterium. RNAcentral's name for it is "tRNA-Ala". The record is from RNAcentral. Lineage: Bacteria; Bacillati; Chloroflexota.
GUUCGAGGCGGCUCGGGCUGCUUUGCAAGCAGGGGGUCGUGGGUUCGAGUCCCAUCGUCUCCA